UAAUCUGGCAUCACAAUAAAAAGGAAUUUUGCUACCAUGGAGUUCUGAAAAGGCUGGAUUUGGAGAGUUGGGAGAGCUAUCCAAGACCAACAGAAAUGAUCGAGCAAGCUCAGACAUAUUCAUUUGCACCUAGAAGCAGUGGUACCUUCUAGACAGCGUAUUCUCAGAAGAAGAAAAAAAGAAUGCUGGGUAGAACAGAGUGGAAUAAAGUAGACGCUGAAGAAAGGCUGACAAAAAAAUGAAACUCCUGCAGCAUUUCACUCUGGCCAAGCAGAAGAGCAUCAAUUUCUUCCUUCAAAGAGCAUUUACUAAGAAUGUGCUGUUCGGGCGACAGAUGCUGUGAGAGGAACUGAAUCUAAGCACAUAGAUGAAAGUUUAUUCCCCCACACGGUCCAGGCAUUUCUCUGCGUCACCACCAUAUCUCUUUGGUGAUCACUGUUGUUAAAUAACUAAUGAUAUUUAGGGCGCAUCUUCCUGUGAAACCUGUCAAUUACCUUUACAGUGGGCACAAAAGAGAAGAAGAUUGAAGAAAAUAUAGGUCUCAGGUUCUCCCCAGAAAUCUUCUAGAUGUAAUACAAGAAGGGGAGGGAGCAUAAGUGUAUCUUAGUAAUUAGAAUUGGAUGAAUUUGGCAGAUGUGAUGCAGCCUGGCCUCUGAUGAUAUAUUGGUGGAGACAACUUGAGCCUUGAGCCACAUGGUCUUUCAUAUUUGGCUCAGGAUGAGCUGUUUGCUUGUUUCCUUCACAGAGGCACUGUGUUCUGUCAAUAUUGCCGUAUGCCAAAAGCUG
This 786-nucleotide long non-coding RNA is filed under the name Rattus norvegicus (Norway rat). Its description in RNAcentral is "long non-coding RNA NONRATT007930". The record is from RNAcentral. Lineage: Eukaryota; Metazoa; Chordata; Mammalia; Rodentia; Muridae.